Molecule: ribosomal RNA, 179 nt
Filed under: Yezognophos vittaria
Lineage: Eukaryota; Metazoa; Arthropoda; Insecta; Lepidoptera; Geometridae
Description: partial 16S ribosomal RNA
Source: RNAcentral
UGUGAGCCAGGUUGGUUUCUAUCUUUUAAAUUAUAAAAUAUUUUAGUACGAAAGGAUUAAAUAUUUUAAUUUAAUUAUUAUAUUUUUUGAAUUUUAUUAAGUUAAAUAAAAAUUUUAUGUUAAUAUAUAAUGUGUGUAUGUAUGCAUAUAUGGUACAUAUAUGUAUACAUAUAUAUAAA